Molecule: long non-coding RNA, 343 nt
Organism: Aquila chrysaetos chrysaetos
Lineage: Eukaryota; Metazoa; Chordata; Aves; Accipitriformes; Accipitridae
Exons: 3
Source: RefSeq, a predicted model, not a curated record
CAAGGGAGAUUUCUUCCAGAGAGCAGAUAGAGUUAUUAAGUCUAAAGUCCAUUAUUUGUUUUUGUCCUUCAUAAAAAGAUGAUCCUGACUCUGGGUGGAUCUAACAAGGAUCCUGGAACUCCAGGGGUAUUGUUUAAUUCUUACCAGAUUCGAUCCUGGCUUUACAUCAAUUCUCACAGGUUCUGCUUUUUGGAUUUACUGGCAACUUCCCAGUCCAGACGGUUGGAAUUACAGCAUUAUUUACUUUGACUGGUAUAAUCUUCUGCUUUUGGUAACCGUCCUGUAACAGCAAAGCCACUGCUUCGAUAUGUUUAGUUUCUGGAAUUAAAAUUUUAAUCUCUCC